UACGUAGGACGCAAGCGUUGUCCGGAAUUAUUGGGCGUAAAGAGCUCGUAGGCGGUUUGUCGCGUCUGCCGUGAAAACCCGAGGCUUAACCUCGUGGCUUGCGGUGGAUACGGGCAGACUAGAGGUAGGUAGGGGAGAAUGGAAUUCCCGGUGUAGCGGUGAAAUGCGCAGAUAUCGGGAGGAACACCGGUGGCGAAGGCGGUUCUCUGGGCCUUACCUGACGCUGAGGAGCGAAAGCGUGGGGAGCGAACAGG
RNAcentral lists this ribosomal RNA (254 nucleotides) under uncultured bacterium. Its description in RNAcentral is "partial 16S ribosomal RNA". It matches the Rfam family "Bacterial small subunit ribosomal RNA", at positions 524 to 776 of the family's 1533-position model. The record is from RNAcentral.